AUACGUAGGGUGCGAGCGUUGACCGGAAUUACUGGGCGUAAAGAGCUCGUAGGUGGUUUGUCGCGUCGUCUGUGAAAUUCCGGGGCUUAACUCCGGGCGUGCAGGCGAUACGGGCAUAACUUGAGUACUGUAGGGGAGACUGGAAUUCCUGGUGUAGCGGUGAAAUGCGCAGAUAUCAGGAGGAACACCGGUGGCGAAGGCGGGUCUCUGGGCAGUAACUGACGCUGAGGAGCGAAAGCAUGGGUAGCGAACAGGAUUAGAUACCCUGGUAGUCCAUGCCGUAAACGGUGGGCGCUAGGUGUAGGGGUCUUCCACGACUUCUGUGCCGUAGCUAACGCAUUAAGCGCCCCGCCUGGGGAGUACGGCCGCAAGGCUAAAACUCAAAUGAAUUGACGGGG
This 398-nucleotide ribosomal RNA is filed under the name uncultured bacterium. RNAcentral describes it as "partial 16S ribosomal RNA". It matches the Rfam family "Bacterial small subunit ribosomal RNA", at positions 523 to 918 of the family's 1533-position model. The record is from RNAcentral.